This 182-nucleotide ribosomal RNA is filed under the name uncultured bacterium. Its description in RNAcentral is "partial 16S ribosomal RNA". It matches the Rfam family "Bacterial small subunit ribosomal RNA", at positions 1319 to 1500 of the family's 1533-position model. The record is from RNAcentral.
CAUGAAGCUGGAAUCGCUAGUAAUCGCGAAUCAGAAUGUCGCGGUGAAUACGUUCCCGGGUCUUGUACACACCGCCCGUCACACCAUGGGAGUCGGAUAUGCCCGAAGCCGGUGACCUAACCGCAAGGAAGGAGCCGUCGAAGGUGGAGCCGAUGACUGGGGUGAAGUCGUAACAAGGUAAC